RNAcentral lists this unclassified non-coding RNA (298 nucleotides) under Fusarium sp. RNAcentral describes it as "partial contains 5.8S ribosomal RNA, internal transcribed spacer 2, and large subunit ribosomal RNA". The stretch from base 1 to 71 matches the Rfam family "5.8S ribosomal RNA", at positions 84 to 154 of the family's 154-position model. Lineage: Eukaryota; Fungi; Ascomycota; Sordariomycetes; Hypocreales; Nectriaceae. The record is from RNAcentral.
GUGAAUCAUCGAAUCUUUGAACGCACAUUGCGCCCGCCAGUAUUCUGGCGGGCAUGCCUGUUCGAGCGUCAUUUCAACCCUCAAGCCCCCCGGGUUUGGUGUUGGGGAUCGGCGAGUCUUCGUGACCAGCCGGCCCCGAAAUCUAGUGGCGGUCUCGCUGCAGCUUCCAUUGCGUAGUAGCUAACACCUCGCAAGCGGAGAGCGGCGCGGCCAUGCCGUUAAACCCCCAACUUCUGAAUGUUGACCUCGGAUCAGGUAGGAAUACCCGCUGAACUUAAGCAUAUCAAUAAGCGGAGGA